AGCGAACGCUGGCGGCAGGCCUAACACAUGCAAGUCGAACGAACCUUUCGGGGUUAGUGGCGGACGGGUGAGUAACACGUGGGAACGUGCCUUUAGGUUCGGAAUAACUCAGGGAAACUUGUGCUAAUACCGAAUGUGCCCUUCGGGGGAAAGAUUUAUCGCCUUUAGAGCGGCCCGCGUCUGAUUAGCUAGUUGGUUGAGGUAAUGGCUCACCAAGGCGACGAUCAGUAGCUGGUCUGAGAGGAUGAUCAGCCACAUUGGGACUGAGACACGCCCAAACUCCUACGGGAAGCAGCAGUGGGGAAUCUUGCGCAAUGGGCGAAAGCCUGACGCAGCCAUGCCGCGUGAAUGAUGAAGGUCUUAGGAUUGUAAAAUUCUUUCACCGGGGACGAUAAUGACGGUACCCGGAGAAGAAGCCCCGGCUAACUUCGUG
Molecule: ribosomal RNA, 433 nt
Filed under: uncultured bacterium
Lineage: Bacteria
Description: partial 16S ribosomal RNA
Rfam family: Bacterial small subunit ribosomal RNA
Source: RNAcentral